Molecule: ribosomal RNA, 434 nt
Filed under: uncultured Lachnospiraceae bacterium
Lineage: Bacteria; Bacillati; Bacillota; Clostridia; Lachnospirales; Lachnospiraceae
Description: partial 16S ribosomal RNA
Rfam family: Bacterial small subunit ribosomal RNA
Source: RNAcentral
ACGGGAGGCAGCAGUGGGGAAUAUUGCACAAUGGGGGAAACCCUGAUGCAGCGACGCCGCGUGAGUGAAGAAGUAUUUCGGUAUGUAAAGCUCUAUCAGCAGGAAAGAAAAUGACGGUACCUGACUAAGAAGCCCCGGCUAACUACGUGCCAGCAGCCGCGGUAAUACGUAAGGGGCAAGCGUUAUCCGGAUUUACUGGGUGUAAAGGGAGCGUAGACGGUAAGGCAAGUCUGAAGUGAAAUGCCAGGGCUCAACCCUGGAACUGCUUUGGAAACUGUCCUACUAGAGUGCAGGAGAGGUAAGUGGAAUUCCUAGUGUAGCGGUGAAAUGCGUAGAUAUUAGGAGGAACACCAGUGGCGAAGGCGGCUUACUGGACUGUAACUGACGUUGAGGCUCGAAAGCGUGGGGAGCAAACAGGAUUAGAUACCCUGGUA